This 2269-nucleotide ribosomal RNA is filed under the name Triticum aestivum (bread wheat). RNAcentral's name for it is "partial small subunit ribosomal RNA". Lineage: Eukaryota; Viridiplantae; Streptophyta; Magnoliopsida; Poales; Poaceae. The record is from RNAcentral.
GGGUUAGGGAGGUCGGCAGCGACGGGGUGGGUACAAAGAGGAGGUGGGGGAGGAGGGAGGAGAGAGAGGAGAGGAGGGAGGGCAGGCGCGCGCGUGCAGUAGGUCGCGAACGCACGAGUGGAGGGCCUGGUCGGCGGCAGCGCGGCGACCCCGAGCAGGCGGCGCCCAAAGGUGCCCCUUCCUCGUCGCUGCCCCGAUCCGGGGUCCGCCACGUGUGAAGUACCCCUCCGUUCCUUGAUCCUCCACUACCACAGCCUAGACCACCACGAUCCAGCCUCGAACUAGGGAGCGGAGGGCUUGGUCGGCAGCGGCGCGGCGACCCCGAACCCAAAGGUACCCCUUAGUCAUGUGUAGUCGUACGGAGGGAGGAAGUAGUAGCAGUAGUCUCGGCGGCGUGGAGAGGAAGGAGGAGCGAGCGUGGGGACGGUGCCACGCGUAGGGAGGGGAAAGCUAGAUUAAAGUAAGAACAAAGUGUACAACCAAACCAACCGUUCUCUGCAACGCCACGGCUGACGUCAUCGGUCACAACCACAACCACUACAAACAUCCAUAAAAGCAGGAGCGGUUAGUGUGUAAAGGAUCCAAUACCCUAACCUAGAGGGAAAAGAUUCUAAGAAUCGACUAUUCAUAUAACACGCCUUUUCAGAGAUAUCAUACUACAACACGUGUAGGUUUAGGUUCGUUACUGGGAAGGUACCACGAGUCGGUGGCAGGCUAAAGUUCCCUCUUAUCCUCUGGGGCUGCUUUUACUCGCAGGAUCGCCGCUUGGGUUCCUACGGCCACUAAUGCCGUCCAGGUACGAGGUCAAGAAGAUAACCCACAAGCGAGUUAAGUACACGAACCCUAAACAAAACUAACUACCUGGAGUUUCGACUACGUUAUUACGUACUUGAACGGUUUUCAGACAACAAUGGUAAUAGAAGAACCCUCAUGAACUCUUCCGCACCGACCCUUACACCCCUGUGCGGUACCAUCUCCGCGCACCAGCCGUCCUCCUCAGUACCUCCGUACUUCCACCUGUACACCUACAAUAGCACCGUAACUGUGUAAAGCGAGGUGGCUACGAUGUAUGGUCCUGCGCAUGCUAAGCGAACUAAGCCCACCCUUGUAAUGUUAGUUCACCCGUGACCUUACUAGUACACUACGUAACAAACUUCAAUUCUGAUUAAGUCAAGUCAGACAAACUUCGAUUCUGUUUAAAGGAACCGUAAAGUGAUCUACACCACAAUUACCGGACUUCUAAAAUAGUCUAAUAGGUGGUAAGUAGGACGUUGGCCUGACCGUUUAUGACAACUUAUACAAGUCUUCGUCUUUAACCUUGUUUCCUUUUGUAGUGUACGAGGCUGGUCUAAUUAAAGGUAGAAUCGAUCUACGGAUCAAUGCCCUUAGCUGGUCUAAUUAAAGGUUGAGUCGAUCUAGCAACGAUACCUCUGUCUACUCAGCAUCCAACCCGUAGCGGGGGAGGAGUUUAGGGUCCUCAUGAGAUACCUAAUGUCUUCUUAACUAAACCCUCUCCCCUCCUCUUGGACGGACCUUCGUUAUACGACGCCGCCGCCCCUGCUCGAUCCACCCGACCCGCGCUGCUCCUGGUUAGACCCCGUCGCUGCUGGUUCGACCCGCCCCCGCCGAUGGUUCGCCCGUGUCGCCGUCGGUUCAACCCGCCCGCGCCGUCGUUGGUUCGCCCGCGUCGCCUCCGGCUUGACCCGUGGACCCUAGACCUGGCUCGCGGACCUGCUUCCCCCGCUCACGGACGUCCGCCCCGGGCUCGCGAACCUGCUUCCCCUACUGCGCUCGAGGACGUCCUCCUUCUGCCGUGCGAUCUCUUCCUUCUGCCCGCUCGAGGACAUCCUUCUUCUGCUGCGCUCGAGACCUCCUCCUUCUGCUGAGUUUAAAGUUUAGCUCCCUAAGCAACCUUCGGUGUGUCCCGUGGGCUCUUCCUCUCCUCCUCUUACGAGACUUCUCUUCUUUACUAUCCAAAAUAACAAAACAAAAUUCUCGUUCCCUCAACUAUACAUCAGGGGACCGAAUAAACAUAAGAUGAUACACAUACCGUUUCUUUAGUACUAAAAUAUGUGUGUAUAUAAAAAUUUGUUUUCGGAUACAUAAAAAACGAGUUUGUGUCAGUAGCCUUUCGCGUGUAUAAAAGUUACGCAUGUACUAAAAUUUACCAAGAAACACUUCUACCAUCGUUUAUAAAACACGAUAGUUUAAUUUUACACAUAUAUAUGUAGAGUAACAUCUGUUGUUAGCUGGUACAAAGAAUAAUUUC